GACGCCGUGGCUCAGGUGGUUAGAGCACCUGUCUCGUAAACAGGGGAUCGGGAGUUCGAAUCUCUCCGACGUCA
Molecule: non-coding RNA, 74 nt
Organism: Ctenocephalides felis (cat flea)
Lineage: Eukaryota; Metazoa; Arthropoda; Insecta; Siphonaptera; Pulicidae
Source: the annotation of a RefSeq genome assembly